GACGAACGCUGGCGGCGUGCUUAACACAUGCAAGUCGAACGGAAAGGCCCUGCUUUUGUGGGGUGCUCGAGUGGCGAACGGGUGAGUAACACGUGAGUAACCUGCCCUUGACUUUGGGAUAACUUCAGGAAACUGGGGCUAAUACCGGAUAGGAGCUCCUGCUGCAUGGUGGGGGUUGGAAAGUUUCGGCGGUUGGGGAUGGACUCGCGGCUUAUCAGCUUGUUGGUGGGGUAGUGGCUUACCAAGGCUUUGACGGGUAGCCGGCCUGAGAGGGUGACCGGCCACAUUGGGACUGAGAUACGGCCCAGACGCCUACGGGAGGCAGCAGUGGGGAAUAUUGCACAAUGGGCGGAAGCGUGAUGCAGCAACGCCGCGUGCGGGAUGACGGCCUUCGGGUUGUAAACCGCUUUCGCCGGUGACGAAGCGUGAGUGACGGUAAUGGGUAAAGAAGCACCGGCUAACUACGUG
This 468-nucleotide ribosomal RNA is filed under the name uncultured bacterium. Its description in RNAcentral is "partial 16S ribosomal RNA". It matches the Rfam family "Bacterial small subunit ribosomal RNA", at positions 28 to 507 of the family's 1533-position model. The record is from RNAcentral.